This is an RNA transcript of Mercenaria mercenaria, 3820 nucleotides long. It is a transcript of the gene named follistatin-like, with no coding region annotated. Lineage: Eukaryota; Metazoa; Mollusca; Bivalvia; Venerida; Veneridae. The transcript has 8 exons. The record is from RefSeq and is a predicted model, not a curated record.
CCGACCGUACACAGAGAUCGGCACUAUUGAUGAAAUGUUAUUGUGAAACGCUACAGUUCGGUAGCUUUUCGCGAUAUUUCACGUUUUCACAGAAGGUGUAGGUAUUAAAAUCGUGCAAAAUUAAGCAUUAUUACAUAUAAAUAUAUGUAGUUGGAUUUUAUGCCUGUUAAUUUUGAAGAAUAACGUUUUAAACAACUGCGUUGUAUUAAACACCCUAUUGGGUAAUACAGAAAAUUUAACAAAAUUUAAAGUUGUCAUGUUAAGAGGAUUUUAGCAAGUGUGUGUUUUAAAUGACGAUGUUUAAUACUGAAAAGUCAAACUGAUUAAUUAUCGUUUCCUAUGUAGAUGCAUUAAAAUGAAUGACUUUCAGCAUAAUAUUAUUUAAAAGCAUUAUUAUUAUGUGCUCAUCGGCCAAUUUUAUAAUGUCACCGUGCUAGAAAAGCAUGGAAUAACGUACAUGUGAGUAACUGUCCAUAAUGAUAAGACUUGGAGUACUCAUGCAACGUUGGAGUAAACUUUUAUGCAAUACCUUCUACCUCAUUAUUGCAGUUUGCGUCCAUCCGUCUGUCGGUGGUGCAUGCUGGAAGUAUAUCGACAAUACAACUCAUCUUUGUAAAAAGACAUUCGGAUUAAAUAUGACUUUCGAGGAGUGUUGCGGAGUUAAAGGACUAGCGACGGUCUCGUGGUCCCCUCACGACAUAUCUAGCGAUAUCUUCUAUUGGAACUUCCUGUCUAAGGGGGCAAGCAUGUGCCAAAGGUGCCAUAGUGAAAAAUUGUUCUUCACUUGUAUGUGAACAAGGAAAGGCUUGCCGUAUGGUAAACGGGCUUCCGAUUUGUAUUUGCAAACCUCAGUGUGAUAAAACUUUAAAAUCACGAGGUGCAUUGUGCGGUACGGACGGACAAAAGUACAGGCAUUAUUGUGCUCUACAAAGAUACAACUGUGUAGCAGAGCGACAAAUAUCAGUUGAAUAUUUCGGAAAAUGUCGAAGUAAAUUCUUGUAAACGAGUCGAGUGUGAGACAGGAAAGCAUUGCUUACAGGACCAGAAUGGGGCUCCACAUUGUAUACCGUGUCAUGAACAUUGUGACUCGAUCACGCCCAACAACCCAGAAGAUUACAUGUGCGGCGAAAACGGAAAAACAUACAGAAGCACAUGUGAACUAAAAGCUGAUAUAUGUAAAACUGGGAGAAGUAUACGAAUAUCUCAUUCUGGAAAGUGUACUGCUCAUGAGAAUUGUAAAACAUUGGCGUGUCCGCGUGGGACAACAUGUUUGGUCAGUGCAGUAAGCGGUAAACCUGUUUGUAUGAACUGUUAUCGAAACGCAAGUUGUUUACAUACAAACGUCCCGAUUUGUGGAACAGAUAAAAAGACAUACUCUAGUUAUUGUAGAAUGCUGAAGUCGGGCUGUCGUUCAGGUGUUUUUGUGUCAACUCUACGCAGAGGUCCUUGUAGACGACACCAGAAACGAAAAAAGUUAUCAAAAGGACACUAGGAAGAUUAUUCAACCAUUUUGGUCCAACAACAGCCGAGGAUCUAUCAGCGAGUUUCGUUCUUGUUCUUUGGACAGUAAACUGAAUGUCAUUUGAAGAUCUUUAUCUGUAUUUUGCUUUAGCACACUUUAACAAAACACUCAGAUAAGUUGGAGCUUUUCCUUUCACAGUACAAAAAACAAAAACAAGAAUGUUGAACAUAAUUCUAGGCCUUACAGGCAGCCGAUGAAGAGAUUUUAGAAUUUCUGUUGUAGGAUGACCAUCUCGAGCAUUGGUAACAAUACUAGCUGCUUGGUUUUGCACUCUCUGAAGUCUGUUGAUCUGAUUGGCAGGGAUAUCGGUGAAAAGGCCAUUGCAAAAGUCAAAAUGAAAUUGAAUAAGGCCAUGCGCCGUGAUCUAUGUGGACUUUUGUGAUAGAUGUAAACGAAUGUUUUUCAGAUUUCUUAGCUGGACAUGCGCAGUUUGACAUUUCAUUCUUAUAUGCAUAUCGAAACUGUGAUUUCUGCCUUUUCGUUCUGGCAUGUCGGUGCCCUCCAAACGCGUCAAUAAGCCAAACCGACAAAUAAGCGCGAUAGUUUGUUGUUCUUACGUGUUGGCGCUUUUCAAACGUGCCAACACGUCAGAAUGAAAUGGCAGAAAUCAGCCACCAUGAAAAGAGGAACAGUGUACUCGUGGCUUCCAGAACGAUUUUAUGCAAUGAACAUAAAAAUGCAGUAAUUUUGUGCCAACAUUUUAUUCGAUGCCAUAACUUACUUCUCGAAUAUUUUUUGCUGUUUCAGCUGUUGAAAUUCAAAAUAUGUUGCAUUCGAUCUAAAUUAGAAUAUAUGCAUUGAAUAAAGCAGGGAUCGCAAUUAAACUCAGUUUGUUUAGUCCUCAUUUCAAUUAAUCUGUUUUGAACUUAUUUUCAGGUAAACUAAAUACUUUUGAAACGAAUAAAAGAAAUGUGAAAAAGCGAAUACGACGGCGGCAUAGACGGCAUAAGAGAAAUAGACGGCAUCGCAGAAAGAGCAAACGUCGCAAACAAAAGAAAAAAGAAAAAAAUCAUAACACUGUUUCAUAUAAAACUAAUACUUUAUAUGAUAAAAGAAAAAACAGGCAUUUUGGUAGACGGGAAGGUUUCGAAGUAACAAGGACCGCAUCAUGACUGUGUCCGGAUCGCAGGCAUUUUCACGAGGAAACUGUGACAGAGUUAAGCGAAGAUCUAUCAUCACUUACAUUUGUUAUAGGAAAUGAAACUAAACAUAGAAUACAAUGAUACACUUAACCGUGUGAUAUUGAAUACCGUGAGAUGUUCUUCGAGGAAAUGGGAAAGCUAUCUUUGCUAAUGAUUAUUGCAUACUAAACAUUUAUUGCAGAAUCGGUAGACACAACAUGUUGACAGCCAGAUGUGUCACUGACAUUGUUAGAUUCAUCGGAAUCCAUUCUACUUUAUUUUUCAUCAAAUAUUUUCCAUUUGGAUGACAAUUCAAAAGAAUCGCAUCAAAUACAUUAAUAUACAUGCACUUAAACAUUUACUUCAUUUAAGUUGUAAAUAAAAUGUAUACUUGUAAAUUCAUAUUGAUAUUUUUAAACUUGUUCACAACCACCAUAACUAUGAAUGUAAUGAUUUAUGGGUAGUUGUCAAAAACGAGGCAAGGGUUGACACAUUAUUAGCAGACGUACCAACUCAGUGAAAGAGUGCUACCACAUUUAAUCUACCAGUUUACAUAAAAGACGUUUCAAAAUCGAAAUCAUAUAACACAACGGUAAUAUGCUUAUUUAACACACUGUUUCGAUUAUUAGGCGCGUAGAAUAUCUCACUAGACGUCUACGCACACGUAAGUUAUUCAAAAGGGUGUUUUAUUUCCCGCCCUCGUGAAAUUAUUCCGAUGGCAACUCAACUUUAAAGUGGAGCGUAUCCAUUUGAGCGUAUCCAUUUGAUUUAACCUGAAAUAUAUUGGCAGGCAUAAGAUGUUACAGACUUAGUUUGCGGAAGAGCCGUCAUGUGUAUAACGAAGUUUCGUAAAUGUUUUCUAACUGACCGCUUUAUCUCACGAAAUAUGACUCAGUAUGUGUAAAGAACAGAUAGUGGAGCUGUAUAAGCUUCUCUCCUGUUGUCAUGUCUCAUAUUAAUAAAUGGAAAGAUAUCUUGUAAUGUUAGAACAUACAUUUUGUAUCUAACUUAAAGGGUUUUAUUGCCAUUUAUAACAUUGUGUUCUGCUAUUAUUGUAUGGCAAAUCAUAUGGAAAAUCCUUUCAGUUGUGGCAAUAAAAUUGCUGCUAGUUCUACACAAAUGUCUUGUGAGCCAAUGUUUACAUAUGUGUUAUUAUAAAAUAAAUAAACAUAAUGUG